AGCGAACGCUGGCGGCAGGCUUAACACAUGCAAGUCGAGCGGGCGUAGCAAUACGUCAGCGGCAGACGGGUGAGUAACGCGUGGGAACAUACCUUUUGGUUCGGAACAACACAGGGAAACUUGUGCUAAUACCGGAUAAGCCCUUACGGGGAAAGAUUUAUCGCCGAAAGAUUGGCCCGCGUCUGAUUAGCUAGUUGGUGAGGUAACGGCUCACCAAGGCGACGAUCAGUAGCNGGUCUGAGAGGAUGAUCAGCCACAUUGGGACUGAGACACGGCCCAAACUCCUACGGGAGGCAGCAGUGGGGAAUAUUGGACAAUGGGCGCAAGCCUGAUCCAGCCAUGCCGCGUGAGUGAUG
RNAcentral lists this ribosomal RNA (356 nucleotides) under uncultured bacterium. Its description in RNAcentral is "bacterial SSU rRNA". It matches the Rfam family "Bacterial small subunit ribosomal RNA", at positions 29 to 410 of the family's 1533-position model. The record is from RNAcentral.